UUUUAUAGCCUUGCCACCCUGAACGUUCCCAAUCUCAUCUGAUCUCAAAAGCUAAGCAGGGUUGGGCCUGCUUAGUACUUGGAUAGGAGACCACCUAGGAAGACCAGGUGCUGCAGGAG
This 119-nucleotide ribosomal RNA is filed under the name Pteropus vampyrus (large flying fox). The record is from RNAcentral. Lineage: Eukaryota; Metazoa; Chordata; Mammalia; Chiroptera; Pteropodidae.